This 141-nucleotide non-coding RNA is filed under the name Cupriavidus taiwanensis. Lineage: Bacteria; Pseudomonadati; Pseudomonadota; Betaproteobacteria; Burkholderiales; Burkholderiaceae. The record is from RNAcentral.
CCCGCCGUGCGACCGGCGGUAGGCUGGGAGCGCGCGUGUUGCUGGCAACGGCGUGCGAAGGUGCUCUGACAAUGUAGUCCGACAGUGGGCAAUAUCGCGAGGUGUUGCGUAGAGGCUCCGAGCAGCGAUGUGGCUCAGACG